Long non-coding RNA from Dromaius novaehollandiae (emu), 2433 nucleotides. RefSeq lists it as uncharacterized. NCBI's taxonomy places the organism in Eukaryota, Metazoa, Chordata, Aves, Casuariiformes, Dromaiidae. The record is from RefSeq and is a predicted model, not a curated record. The transcript is spliced from 2 exons.
CCCUCCUUUGUUCGGGAAUUAACCUGACCGCGGGGCCGGGAAGCGGCACGACUUCGGUUUGGGAAAGCGGGGCGGAGGGGGCUCUCCUGGCCCCCGUCGGGGCAGGCGGCGCCCGGGGAGGCGCCCGGAGCAGCGGGGACGGCGCUGCUGUCGCUCUGCGGCGGCUCGCAGCGAAAUUUCGUUGAAGGCGCUAUUUCCGCGCCGGGUGGGAACUUUCGGCGUUAAUUAGCCAUGUUGCUCCUACGAGCCGGUCCUGCUCCUCUCUGCUCAUCCGUUCCCAGGGAGAGAAAACAGUGUGUGCAGGGCUACAGCGCAGCGAGACAAAAUAAUCAGCUUUAAAAUUCUGAUCUUGGGCUUAAAUUUGGGCGAUGUGGCAACAGCUGGAAAUGGAGCCGUUCUGGUCGCGGGAGGAGAGAGGAGAUCUCCAACGAGCUAACAAAAGCGAGGAAACCGCACUUCCCACGGACAUCCAGGAAGCGACUGGGCUCCGUCCCUUCCAGGAGAAACCGCGGUCCGUUUUGAAGCGAGGGGUCAGGGCUUUGGACCCCUUUGGGGCGCAGGGUGAAGAAGACGUGCAAUGAUUUGGAAGCAAUGGUUCCUUCUGGUGCUUUGCAGAGUGAAGAGGUCCCACAGGCAGGCUGAGGCGUAUUCACAUCCAGCACCCCAACGCGACCUGCCAGGGCUGAGAGCCAUUUCCAAGACAUGCCACAGUACAACAGGGAUAUUCUACAGCAUGGCACUUUACCUGCACACCCAGCCCUGCAGCCAAAUCCCACAGCCCUCUCCAGACAGCAGCCCCGCAUUCCUGAGCUAGACAGAUGAUGAAAAAGUUCCAGUUCCCGUCUAAUGAAAGGCCUCCAUCUCCCUUCCCCCAGAGGUUUCCGAAGCACAUAUAAUUAGCUCUCAAUAUUUCAUGAAUAUGGGGUUUUACUAAUUCCUUUUCACUCAGGAGAUUUUGCAUUCGCGGUUUUCUGUCAUUUUGCAGAAAGCCUUGGCGGUGGGAAGGGUGGUUAUGGUGUGGAGUGGCUCCUCCUAACCAGAUGCACAACAUCCCUGGGCUGCCUGAGGCCUCAGCCCAGGCAACCUGAGAGACAGAGGUCCUGAAUGAAGGACCACAGCCUUUUUCAUGCAGAAAAUCAGAUUUGCUGUGGGAUUUCAGCCCUUUGGGGCAAAGACAUCCUUGGAUAGGUAGUGUUCCAGGAGUAGAUCUUUGCUUCUGAAUUAUAGUGUAUUUUGGAGGGAAAUCAGUACUUUCUGACCAAAAAGAGUGACUAUCUUAGGAAAACCAGGAGGUAGAAGUAGAGUCGAAAGUCAUCAAGAAAUGCCCUACUAAAUCUUGAUAUCUUUUGCAACUUUCUGUAAUAAUGAGAGUGCCGAAUCAUCUGAUUACUACUCAAUCGUGCUAGUAAGAACUUCUCUCCAUGCUCCCCUUGUGUGUAACCAAGGGCAAAACUACCCCUGCAUCAUCUUCAUUUGUGUUUUGUCUGGUUCGCUAAAAAGCAGCGCUGUAAAAGUUACCACAUUCAUAUUCCCAACGGAAAAAAUAUUGGGGUCUUAUCCGCCUUCCCCAGCAUCGGUCUGCAGCUGCCGGCACCCUCACGACGCAGGCGCUGAAGACGCCGUCGGCGCCGGAGGGCUGACGUGCAGCUGGGGUCUGCCUCCAAGCCGUCCUCGCCUCGCGGAUGCCCGUGCGGAGCUGCCUGGGUGCCACAGCGGGUCUGACCCCAUCACCCACGUGCAAUGUGGGGAGCCAGCACCCUCUUGCCUCUGUCUGCAAGCAGUUGUGCUGUGCCGAAAUCUGCUGGCUUCUGUUGGUCUUCGGAAACUGCAAGGAGGACCGUCAGCAGGUCGGACUCCGCGGGUCUGCCUGUACCGCAAUAGCCGUUCUUCCUGCAAUCACGUCAGUAGAUACCGACUACAUUAUUUUUCUUUUUUUUUUCAUCGUUUUUCAUGCCGUUCAAAUUGUAUGUGCCUCAAACACGGCGAUGUAACAAUAGUUUAGUCCCAGGGGAGUUUUCCUAAACACACUGCAAGAACAAAGUUUGGUCCUCCUGUCCCAGUGGAUUUAGACUAAUGGGGUUUUCACCGUAUCGCCUUAUUGCUAAACACUAGCGUUUAUAUUGAGGUGGAUGAGUUUCUGUAAAGGCACCCCACAGCCAGAAACAUCUCAUUAAAAAUCCCAUUAUCCCCAUAACUUUGGUUAUUAUUAAUUUAAAUGACUGCCUUGUGAUUUGUAAGAAGGAAAACAAAUCCUGGAACAAAUGAUACUUAGGAUCGUUGAGCCUGGUGGGCAAUGGGUUUUAUUUGGUACACGUUUUUAGCUGGAUGUUAAAGAGGUUUUCUAAUUUACAGUAACUGCUGUCUCUGUAUGUGGUCCAUUGAAAGAUAGCUUUGUUUUCUCCCAUUAAACUUUGUGAGUCACUAGUUACUGUG